AACGAACGCUGGCGGCAUGCCUAAUACAUGCAAGUCGAACGAGAUCUUCGGAUCUAGUGGCGCACGGGUGCGUAACGCGUGGGAAUCUGCCCUUGGGUUCGGAAUAACUUCUGGAAACGGAAGCUAAUACCGGAUGAUGACGUAAGUCCAAAGAUUUAUCGCCCAAGGAUGAGCCCGCGUAGGAUUAGGUAGUUGGUGAGGUAAAGGCUCACCAAGCCGACGAUCCUUAGCUGGUCUGAGAGGAUGAUCAGCCAAACUGGGACUGAGACACGGCCCAGACUCCUACGGGAGGUAGCAGUAGGGAAUAUUGGACAAUGGGCGAAAGCCUGAUCCAGCAAUGCCGCGUGAGUGAUGAAGGCCUUAGGGUUGUAAAGCUCUUUUACCCGGGAUGAUAAUGACAGUACCGGGAGAAUAAGCUCCGGCUAACUCCGUG
Molecule: ribosomal RNA, 433 nt
Filed under: uncultured bacterium
Lineage: Bacteria
Description: partial 16S ribosomal RNA
Rfam family: Bacterial small subunit ribosomal RNA
Source: RNAcentral